RNAcentral lists this ribosomal RNA (290 nucleotides) under uncultured Thermus sp. RNAcentral's name for it is "partial 16S ribosomal RNA". It matches the Rfam family "Bacterial small subunit ribosomal RNA", at positions 1094 to 1382 of the family's 1533-position model. Lineage: Bacteria; Thermotogati; Deinococcota; Deinococci; Thermales; Thermaceae. The record is from RNAcentral.
GAGCGCAACCCCCGCCGUUAGUUGCCAGCGGUUCGGCCGGGCACUCUAACGGGACUGCCCGCGAAAGCGGGAGGAAGGAGGGGACGACGUCUGGUCAGCAUGGCCCUUACGGCCUGGGCGACACACGUGCUACAAUGCCCACUACAAAGCGAUGCCACCCGGCAACGGGGAGCUAAUCGCAAAAAGGUGGGCCCAGUUCGGAUUGGGGUCUGCAACCCGACCCCAUGAAGCCGGAAUCGCUAGUAAUCGCGGAUCAGCCAUGCCCGCGGUCGAAUACGUUCCCGGGCCUU